AAGGCUCUUCUGUGUCUUCCUGACCAGCUGCUCUGUUCCCAGCUUAGAGGACCAGAGGGAGAAGCCACCUGCUACACGCUGGAUGCUGCAGCCUGUGCCACUGUGGCUCACAUCGCUGUGGUUGGUGGCAGCAACGGAGACUGCAGCCAGCUGGAGUGGUAGGAGGAAGGAAAUAGUUUUGGGGUAGAUGGAGGAGUAAAGAGGGUGGUGAGUGCCAAAGGGAAAAGUGGAUGGCGGGGCGAGCAGAAGAAGGAGUUGCAAAAAGAUGGUGGGGAAAAGAUGGUGGAAAAAAGUGGGUAGAUGGAGGCGGAAAAACAGGGAGACAAACAGGAGGGGGAGAAGGUUUGCAAAGAUGGUGGGGAAAAACACUGUGGGAAGAAAAGAAAGGCAGUGGGGAAAAACAUUGUGGGUAGAUGGAGGGCAAGAAAGAGGGUGGCAAGUGGGAGGAGAAGAGAGGGUGCUGAGAGGGAGGGGGAAGAGAGGGUGGUGAGCAGGAGGGAGAGAAGGUUUUGCAAAAAGAUGAUAUGGAGAAAAGACAGUGGGGAGAAAAGUUUUUGGGUAGAUAGAGGGGGAAAA
Molecule: long non-coding RNA, 576 nt
Filed under: Homo sapiens (human)
Lineage: Eukaryota; Metazoa; Chordata; Mammalia; Primates; Hominidae
Description: HSALNT0372179
Source: RNAcentral